This 457-nucleotide ribosomal RNA is filed under the name uncultured bacterium. RNAcentral's name for it is "bacterial SSU rRNA". It matches the Rfam family "Bacterial small subunit ribosomal RNA", at positions 29 to 506 of the family's 1533-position model. The record is from RNAcentral.
AUUGAACGCUGGCGGCAUGCCUUACACAUGCAAGUCGAACGGCAGCACGGGGGCAACCCUGGUGGCGAGUGGCGAACGGGUGAGUAACACAUCGGAACGUGCCCAGUAGUGGGGGAUAGCUCGGCGAAAGCCGGAUUAAUACCGCAUACGACCUACGGGUGAAAGCGGGGGAUCGCAAGACCUCGCGCUAUUGGAGCGGCCGAUGUCAGAUUAGGUUGUUGGUGGGGUAAAGGCCACCAAGCCGACGAUCUGUAGCUGGUCUGAGAGGACGACCAGCCACACUGGGACUGAGACACGGCCCAGACUCCUACGGGAGGCAGCAGUGGGGAAUCUUGGACAAUGGGCGCAAGCCUGAUCCAGCCAUGCCGCGUGGAUGAUGAAGGCCUUAGGGUUGUAAAAUCCUUUCGUUGGGGACGAUAAUGACGGUACCCAAAGAAGAAGCUCCGGCUAACUUCGU